Long non-coding RNA from Empidonax traillii (willow flycatcher), 300 nucleotides. RefSeq lists it as uncharacterized. The record is from RefSeq and is a predicted model, not a curated record. NCBI's taxonomy places the organism in Eukaryota, Metazoa, Chordata, Aves, Passeriformes, Tyrannidae. The transcript has 4 exons.
ACCGUUGCUUCCCUGACAUUCCUUUUUUGGUGUUGUCCUGUCUACUUUUUCAGUGAUUUUAGAUCAGAAAACACCAUGAGCACACGCUGGCGAAAGCGCCGUGGACAAGCUAUCAAUUCCAAACGAGCUCAGAAACGAAGCAAGCUACUGGCUUCCAGUGCAGCUGUUGAAGAAAUCAUAGAUUUCACAGGCGAAUAUUCUGGGCUUGAAGUUGCUAAUAUAACUGGUGAUGAUUCUGUUGUGCAGCGGGAGCACAAUGAGAAGCACCCACUUGUUUCCGAAGCAGCAGAUGAAAACUCA